CUCAGCCCCACUCACCUCACAGAGUGUUUGUUGUGGGGGAGGAAGGGAAAGGAGAAUGUGAGCCGCUUUGAGACUCCUUAGGGUAGUGAUAAAGCAGGAUAUCAAAUCCAAACUCUUCUUCUCCUACUACAGCGGGGAGGAGCACAGAAAGAAGAAACAUCAUGGUACACCUGCAUCUGCCUAACCAGACACCUUCACCUGCCCCAGCUGCAACAGAACAUGUCUCUCCCAUAUCGGUUUCUACAGCCACAGCAGGUACUGUAACUCUCCAGUGGUUUGACUUCACCCCCAAAGGCGCACUCUUCCAUUGUCUCCCAAGACAGACAGAUGCCAACCAGAUAUGGGUAAUUGCUGAACUGGGGGGCAGCUUCAACUAAUGAGUCCCAGUAGUAGAUGUCCACCUACACAAGGACUUCAGCAAGCUUAGUGGGGCUUUCCUUCGUCUCCCCACCAGCACCACCAUAUUGACUCAGGGUGGGUUCGGGAGAGCCCCCAAAACAGCACACAGGUGGAGGAGGGGGCAUCAUUUCAUCUGACAAAUUUGUGCUUGUGCUGACAGAACAAUUGCCACAGUACUACAUAUAAUUCCUCUCUUUAUGUUUGUUUGUUUGUUUGUUUGUUUGUUUGUUUGUUUAAUGGGAACCAGUCAUUUCUUCUUUACCUCAGAAUUCUAGGUGAUACCUGCAAAGAGAAACAUCAUGCUUGGUUCUAAUAAAGGUGUAUUGCCCAAUUGUAGUUGCUGGAAAUGUUUUUUUCCUCCUUAUGGACCAACAUGGCUGCCUUGGUGUGUUUUUUUAAAAAAAUAAAUAAAUUUAGUGGUGGCUCUGUGCUUGAAUAGAAAUAAAAUGAAGUGUGACAUAUUGUUCUUCCCCUGAGGCCAUGUUGUCCAGCAUCCUGGUCUCAUAACCAAUUGUUUUCCUACUUGUAAAGGUAAAGGUAAAGGGACCCCUGACCAUUAGGUCCAGUCGUGACUGACUCUGGGGUUGCAGCGCUCAACCCGUUUUAUUGGCCGAGGGAGCCGGUGUACAGCUUCCGGGUCAUGUGGCCAGCAUGACUAAGCCACUUCUGGCGAACCAGAGCAGCGCACGGAAACACCGUUUACCUUCCUGCCGGAGCGGUACCUAUUUAUCUACUUGCACUUGAUGUGCUUCAGACUAGCUAGGUGGGCAAGAGCAGGGACCGAGCAAUAGGCUCACCAGUCUGGAGAUGAUCUGCCGACCUUCUGAUCAGCAAGUCCUAGGCUCUGUGGUUUAACCCACAGCGCCACCCGCGUCCCUUACUUUCCUACUUGUAGACAUCCUAUAUUUUAUUUCUUUGUUUGAUUGUUUUUGUUCAUUAGUAGUUCCUUGUGUUAUUCCAUGGUAUGCCUUUGUUUUGCUCAGGCUUGUUGGUACAUGUCUACUACUGUACUGUCAUCCAUGCCACUAUUAGUUAUUGUUGUCUUGAUGCAUAUUUCUCAUUAAACUCAACUAAUACUUCUCACAUUUUCCAGAGACUUUCUGACUUGUCUCCAUGAGUUCACCUCAGAUGAGACUUGUAUAGUGUUGAUUAACAGCAGCUAUAGUUCUACUUGUGCCAUUUGGCAAAAGUAGUUCUUAGCUGCUGCUGAAUCAACACUAGUGCAAUUCUCAUCUGAGGCAAAUCUGACGGACUCAAGUCAGAAAGUGCUUUGCAAAUGUGAGGUGUAUUCGCUUGUCCAGUCUUCCUGAGUAUUGUUGAAUCAACACCUCAGUUACCCAUAGUGGUAUGGAUGUUCCAGAACUAGUAGUAGUCAUGUACCAACAAGCCUGAGUAAGGCAAAGGCAUACCAUGGAAUAGCUAAGGAACUACCAAUGAACAUGGACCAUUGAACACAGACAUAAUAUAUAGGAUGUCUAUAUGUAGGAAAGUAUCUUCAUCUGUUAACCUUUUCUCUCAUCUUUUGCAUAGCUAUCUCCUUGGUUGAUAUGUUCCUUUUUUAAAAGAAUCACACUCAAAUAGUCAGGAACUGGGUUUGUUUUGUUUUUAAUGUGCCAUAACCUCAGAAUUCUCCUGCCAUCCUAGCAGUUCAAAAGCACGUCCAAGUGCAAGUAGAUAAAUAGGUACUGCUCCGGCAGGAAGGUAAAUGGCGUUUCUGUGUGCUGCUCUGGUUCGCCAGAAGCGGCUUAGUCAUGCAGGACACACGACCCGGAAGCUGUACGCCGGCUCCCUCGGCCAAUAAAGCGAGAUGAGUGCCGCAACCCCAGAGUCAGCCAUGACUGGACCUAAUGGUCAGGGGUCCCUUUACCUUUAACAUCAGAAUUAUCCAAGAAGCCCAUCUGCAUUGGAAAUACAGUGGUACCUCGGGUUAAGUACUUAAUUCGUUCUGGAGGUCCGUUCUUAACCUGAAGCUGUUCUUAACCUGAAGCACCACUUUAGCUAAUGGGGCCUCCUGCUGCCACCGCGCCGCCGGAGCAGGAUUUCUGUUCUCAUCCUGAAGCAAAGUUCUUAACCUGAAGCACUAUUUCUGGGUUAGCGGAGUCUAUAACCUGAAGCGUAUGUAACCUGAGGUACCAUUGUAAAGGUAUUUGAUUGAGAUGACCACCUUUUAACCUAGCAAAUUGCAGACAGCACAGCUAGAGUUGCCACUGAAAUCCACCAAUUGUAGAAUUAUUAUUUGUUUUUACAUAACAUAAAGAGAAACUGGAUACCAAUUACUAUUAUCAGCUACAUGAUAUUUUUCAGAAUGGGUAUGACCAAGUAACAACUCUACACAUUAUAUUUCUACAAAGGAUCUCCAUUAUUAGUUUUCAAGUCAUGCUUUCAGUUGCCUCUUCUUUCUUCCAAAAGGCCCUUUCCCCCAGACAUUUAUUUCUGCAGAAACAAAUAAUUUGGACAAAUCUCUUUCAUAAUGCAUUCUCAAAUUAUCAUGAGCAGUGCUUCUGAGAUAUGAGCUAUCCAUGCAAAUUAUGAAUGGGGGAGUAAGUAUACUUGAAAGUUGAGUAAUGAAGAUAUAAAUCUGGUGUGUGGGUGUUUUGUUUCAUUUAAAUUGUUUGAUAUAAGUGAGAAGGAAGAGGGAAAGGAAGUGAGGAAAAAGGGAGCAGAAAAACUGGCCUGUGUCUUUGUGCUUCAAAAUACCUUCCAGCAACUACAGAAGGAAGAAUGCAAAUAUACAUCCUGGACCCAGCUUAAGAGAUCAUGACUUCUCCUGUGGUAUGUUAUGACCGUUAAGAUCAGCUAGGGCAGCAUACUAACCAUACAUAUAUAAGGCACAUGACUUUCCCCAAAGAAUAUUGGGCACUGUAGUUUGUUAAGGGUGGUGGGAAUUGUACCGCUGCGAGGGGUAAGCUACAGUUCGCAUGACUGGGCGGGGGGUGAGUCAUGUACUUUAGACACGCUUUAAAUGUAUUUCGCUUAUGUAGCAAAAUAGUGACUGCUGUGUUUGUGGUCAAGGCUGGACAUUCCCCAGCAGCUGCCCCCCCCACCAUGGAAUUCUUUUCUUCUUGAGACUUGAGAAUAACCGAGCCUUCUAAAACACUUUCUGAAACACAAAGAACAUUGCAGUGGUGUGUCUUAUUCUUCUCUCCUCUUUAUUUAAUAUGACUUGUUAUAAGAACAAAUGGUUGUGUGCUUCUUCACCUCACCUGUUGCUGGCAUGGAAAUGUUAUAGCAUCAUGAGUCAAAAGCACAAGGUAGGUUGUACUAAACUUUAUGGCAGCAGAGGCAUAGCUGGUGGGUUUUUGGCAUCAGGCACAGGUUUGGAGGUAAAGCAUAGUUCUGCUAACUUCCUGGAGCUAGGUAAGAAGACAUUUUUUAGCUCCUUUAAGCUGCUGUCAGUAUUUGUCAACUGGAGUUUUAUACUAUGCUGUAGCAUUGUUUUAGAUAUCUUGUAGUAAGUUUUUGUUGUUGCUCCCUUACCUGUAAAACAAGCGCUGAAGACAAAAAAGCUGUGCAGUAAUAGAUUAAUGCUGAAUUGUCUGUCUUCAGCCUAAAUUAAAAUGGCUACAAUCCGUAGCUCAGACUGUACCAAGGAAAAUUGGGCUCUGUCAUUAUUUUAUUACUUCAUUAAGUUUGAAUAAAUCAUAAGCACUGAAUCAAUUGUAUAAGAACGAUAACUGAUACAACCAAGCAAAAACCAAACAAUUGUAUCUUGAUAAGAAAGCAAAACAAAUACACAGAACAAACAGUAGAAAAGUGUAAGAAUUGUAUACGAUAAUCUUCAGGGAUUAUAUCAUAUAAGUAUAACAACAGAAAAGGAAUUAUGUUUUAUAUUGCAGAUUCGGGAAAGAGGACACAAAACACAUAUUAAAAUAAAAUAAAUAAGAAAUCAAGAGACUUCAACUUAACUAGAUCCCUUUAAAUGCCAAUGGCGAAGACCGACUGUGUUCUUGUAAUACUUAUAUAUGAUUCUGGAUUGUUGGAUGCUGCCAUUUGAUAAUGCCCUUUUAAAAUGUGGUUUUUUUGGGGGGGGUGCUAUUGGUCUGUUGUUUUAUUGUCAUUGGGUAUCUUGUGGUUUUAUAUGAUUUUAUUCUGUGAACCGCCCUGAGACCCACGGGUAUAGGGUGGUUAUUAUUAUUAUUAUUAUUAUUAUUAUUAUUAUUAUAUGCUUUUGGACUUUAGGCUGCAUCCAUUUCAUGGAUGUUGUCAGUUUAGCAGCCAUGAUACCAGAUUAAGUCAGAGGUUCAGUGUUGGGAUUGUACAACUGCAUUUGACUUGACUUGCAAAGACUAUCACAUCGCAUUCACUGGGCAUGAAAGUUUAGACAUGAUCACAGCAUGACUGGAGGUAAGAGGAGGCUUUGAUUCUUGGGGGGAUCUGUUAUGUGAAUUGCACUUUCUUAAAUGGAAAAUUAAACCUUUUUAUCACUUUGAAAUAUUCAGCCAGUAGCCAAUUAUUCAUCCGUUGCUGUUAUGGUUCCUUAUACAGUUUAAUGAUAUCACUGAAGGCUGGAAAGACAGUCCGGCUAAGAGAAAUGCAAAUCUGGACCUGCAUUUUGCUUCCUCCUGGAACUUUCUUGCACUGAAAGGAUAUUGCCAAUUAAGUUAAGAGGCGAGAGGAGAUGGGUAGAGUUGCUAAGCUGCAAUCUUGAGAUUCCCCUUGUCCCUGUAAAUCUGGUGCAGUACCUGAAGAUGAGAGAACUGUGGCAUCUGUCUUCCUGUGUCUUUUUCAUCUUUCUUCUCUCGCCACCUAUUGUGUGACUUAACUGCUCACCACAGCAGGCCAGGGGCAGGGCAGGCUAAACUACCUGGGAUGAGGGAGAGCAGAAAUGGCUGCCUUCUCUCCUAAUUCAACAGUAGAUAUCAAGGUCCAUGGACAGCCUUCAGGUCGCAAUCUGACAGCCUGAAGGCUUAACUGUUAAUAGGUAAAGGUAAAUGGAACCCUAACCAUUAGGUCCAGUCGUGGCCAACUCUGGGGUUGCGGCACUCAUCUCGCUUUAUUGGCCGAGGGAGCCGGCGUACGGCUUCCGGGUCACGUGGCCAGGAUGACUAAGCCGCUUCUGGCGAACCACAGCAGCGCACAGAAACGCCGUUUACCUUCCUGCCAGAGUGGUACCUAUUUAUCUACUUGCACUUCAUGCUUUUGAACUGCUAGGUUGGCAGGAGCAGGGACCGAGCAAUGGGAGCUCACCCCGUCACGGGGAUUCGAACCGCCGACCUUCUGAUCGGCAAGUCCUAGGCUCUGUGGUUUAACCCACAGCGCCACCUGCGUCCCCUAACUGUUAAUAGAGCAGCAUGCAAUUCAUCUUCAGGGCAAUGAGUUUUUCCUUAGGACUUUUGUGUGCAGGUUAGGGAGGUUUAAUCCUUCACUCCCCAUGAGCCCCCCAAUGAACCCUACUCCCCAAAGUGGCCAUUAGGCUUAAGGAAAAGGUUUUCAUCAUUGGUGCUAAUAAGAUGACCUUGCAAGCAUCAUAAUAAUAAUAAUAAUAAUAAUAAUAAUAAUUUUAUUUGUAUCCCGCCCUCCCCGGCCAAAGCCUGGCCCAGAGUGGCCAACAAGAAGCAAAAAUAGCGCAGCACACACAAAAUCACACAGUAAAUCAAUCAAAAUACACUCUAAAAUCAAUUCAGAAUCAAAUUAAUGCCAACCAUUGGGUUAGAGUCCUAUGAGGAUUACAGAAGGAGAGAGGGGGUCAGACUGUGCCUUGGCCAAAGGCCUGGCGGAACAGCUCCAUCUUGCAGGCCCUGCGGAAAGAUGUCAAGUCCCGCCCUAGUCUCUUGUGACAGAGCAUUUCACCAGAUCGGGGCCAUGGCCGAAAAAGCCCUAGCUCUGGUUGAGGCCAGCCUAACCUCCCUGUGGCCCGGGAUCUCCAAGAUGUUUUUACUUGAAGACCAUAAGGUCCUCCGUGGGACAUACCAGGAGAGGCGGUCCUGUAGGUAUGAGGGUCCUAGGCCAUAUAAGGCUUUAAAGGUUAAAACCAGCAGCUUAAACCUGAUCCUGUACUCCACCAGGAGCCAGUGCAGCUGGAAAAGCACCGGGUGAAUGUGAUCCUGCAGUGAGGACCCCGUAAGGAGUCUCUCUGCGGCAUUCUGCACCCGCAGAGAAUUGUACUGCACUGAGGGUGCCUUUUUGUCAUCAGUAAAGUAUUGCUGCUUGAGUCCAGUGGCAUUGCCACAACAAAAGCGCUGCCCUGGAGCAAGAUGUGUGCAGGAAGUUUUUCAACAUAUUAGUUGAACUAACUACUCAUUCAUUGCUCAGGAAAAGCUCUAUGCCAGGGGUCAGCAAACGUUUUCAGCAGGGGCCGGUCCACUGUCCCUCAGACCUUGUGGGGGGCCAGACUAUAUUUUUUUUGGGGGGGGAAUGAAUGAAUUCCUAUGCCCCACAAAUAACCCAGAGAUGCAUUUUAAAUAAAAGGACACAUUCUACUCAUGUAAAAAUACCAGGCAGGCCCUACAAAUAACCCAGAGAUGCAUUUUAAAUAAAAGGACACAUUCUACUCAUGUAAAAACAUGCUGAUUCCUGGAAUGUCCGUGGGCCGGAUUGAGAAGGCGAUUGGGCCGCAUCCGGCCCCUGAGCCUUAGUUUGCCUACCCAUGCUCUAUGCCAUCCUAAAAUAUCACCUUUGUGUCUAUACAGUUAUACCUUCAAAUCAUCAAUCACAAACAGCACCUCAUCAGGUAACAAAAAAGUCUAAAAUAUGAAUAAAUACGCUUUGGCAAUUCUAAUGGCAUUGUCAGAACAAAAGGCAAUUCUCUUCCAACAGGCUCUCAAGUGUUAUUUUGUUUUCAAAUUUUCUGCCCCUGUCUAUUAUUUUUUAUUAAAUUUGUAUACCACCCUCCAUACAUAGAAGAGAAGAAGAAGAAGAGUUUGGAUUUGAUAUCCCGCCUUUCACUCCCUUUAAGGAGUCUCAAAGUGGCUAACAUUCUCCUUUCCCUUCCUCCCCCACAACAAACACUCUGUGAGGUGAGUGGGGCUGAGAGACUUCAGAGAAGUGUGACUAGCCCAAGGUCACCCAGCAGCUGCAUGUGGAGGAGCGGAGACGCGAACCCGGUUCACCAGAUUACGAGACUACCGCUCUUAACCACUAUACCACACUUGCUCUCUGGGUGGUUCACACAUAGAUCUCAGGACGGUUCAGCUAGCAAAUCUGAUAAACAGUAUAAAAACAAAUAAUCACCCCCAGAUUAAACCCAAUUGCAAAACUGAAAUAUGAGUAUUUAAAUUACAAAAUUUUUUGCAGCAUUCCACAGCAGCCAUCAGGAACGCUAAUUUAAGCCUGCAAUUAUGAAUCGGUUUGUGGUAUAUUGUUAGAUUGUUGAUCUGACACCUUGUUUGUUGCCUGGAAUUAAUUUGUAAUAGUGGUUUAUAGUGGUUUGAUGUUGCAUGUUGAUGUUGGCAAAACGAUACUUUCAGGGGCCACAGAAAGCUGGAAAUCAGGGCACAGUAACCAAGCAAAUAAAUAAAUGGAGUUAUAGGGAAGUAUAGAACAUGUCUGAGGGGAAAGAGAAGAGUGACAGCAAUAUGAAUAUAACAGUCUCUCCCCUCCCCUGUGAAGAAAACCUCCUAUGCAACCAAUCUGCUAGGCAAUGCAGCUCCCAACUUCCCAGAAAUUAUUAUUAUUAUUUAACAAAACAGGACUGUUGCUUUCACCUACCAAUCUCUGCCUCUGAAACAGGCAUACCAUUAAGCUAUAUGAGCAGUUCUGAAGCACAUAUUUAUGGUGGGGACACUUCCCCAUAAAGACAUGUUGAAACAAAGACUGCACCUGAAUAAAAAAAUGUAUAUGAGACUCUCAGCAAGACUCAAAUGAAAUGCAGUUUCUCAGAGAGGCAUUCUAUUAGUGUCAGGAGAUAAAUACAGCUUUUCCUUAGUGUCUGCUGAGAGGGAACUAAGAGACAGGUGACAAAACAUGACUUUUAAAGUGGUUGUUUUUUUAUUCCCCCUCCCCAUCGCAAACAGCUAUAAAUAAAAUAAUGAGUCAUUAGUAAAAUAACAGUUUGGAGUGGGAAGAAAGGAUCUGCACACGGUAUUUUCAGGCAAAGUUGCUCACAGAGACUCUGUGCCAGGGCACAAGCUAUGUGGGGUUCUGAGAUUCUUAGCCCCAAUCAUCAAUUAAAACUGCAGAGGCUUUCUUCAUGCAAACACACACACACACACACACACACACACACACACACACAGCCCUCACUGCUGUCAAAUUUCAGUUACAUAUGAGCAGCUCUCUUUCGCUUCGCUUCACUGUGGAUAUGUUAAGCUGACAGCAGGUUUCAUCUCUCCCGCCAUGGGAAAGUGGCGAGACUUCAGAAAGCCUGUUUUCACUGAGUCUUUGUACCAGGUAUUCAGCGAUUCAUAGCUAGCCAGAGGAGUCAGCAGAGGACCUGGGGGGUCAGCAAGUGGCAGCCCCAGUGCCACAUUUGCUAAGGCAGGAGCAGGAAAGGAAACUGGUGGGUGUAAGAAUUAGGCUUGCUGGCAGGAUGGUGUGGGUCUUGGCACAUCAGUCCUCUUCAUCCUAAAAGUGACCCUCCAACAACACUGGCUAAUGUUGUUGUUGUUUAGUUGUUUAGUCGUGUCCGACUCUCCGUGACCCCCUGGACCAGAGCAUGCCAGGCACUCCUGUCUUCCACUGCCUCCCGCAGUUUGGUCAAACUCACGUUGGUAGCUUCGAGAACACUGUCCAACCAUCUCGUCCUCUGUCGUCCCCUUCUCCUUGUUCCCUCAAUCUUUCCCACCAUCAGGGUCUUUUCCAGGGAGUCUUCUCUUCUCAUGAGGUGGCCAAAGUAUUGGAGCCUCAGCUUCAGGAUCUGUCCUUCCAGUGAGCACUCAGGGCUGGUUUCCUUCAGAAUGGAUAGGUUUGAUCUUCUUGCAGUCCAUGGGACUCUCAAGAGUCUCCUCCAGCACCAUAAUUCAAAAGCAUCAAUUCUUCUUCAAAAGCAUCAUAAAGCCUUCUUUAUGAUGCAGUCCUCACUUCCAUACAUCACUACUGGGAAAACCAUAGCUUUAACUUUACGGACCUUACUGGCUAAUGACUAACGCUGUAAUCAAAGAUGCUUGUUAGGAAUGGAGAACUUAGCGCCCUUCAGAUACUUUUGAACUCCAUCUUCGAUCAUCCAUGACCACUGGCUAUGCUGGCUUUGUCUGAUGGGAGUUGUAGUUCAACAACAUCUGGAGGGUCACAGGUUACCUAUUCUUGAUGUAGCUGUUAUGAGGGACCCCUGGAGCUUUAAGGUGGUAUUUCUGAGAUCUCUGUAACGCUCAGAAAGGAAAUAUGAAUGCUAAGAAGCUUCAUCUACACAAAUUUAUAGCUGGUAGUGCAAGGGGCCUAGACUAAGGUUACCAGAUUUUUUUCAAUGAAUCUGCGGACACUUUUCAACUUCCUCCUAAAUAGAUGGAUUUUAUCAGGGGACUGAUUUGUAAAUCUGGGAACAGUCCCCGGGAAAAGGGGAUGUCUGGUAACCUUAGCCUAGACCGUUUAGGUGUGUUUCAUGUGUCUUCCCUGAAUUUUCAGCUUUCAUUUAAAAAAUAAACCAGUGGUCAGGGGCACUGUUAGAGGGUGGCUAAGUGGCCUAAGCUCCAGAUCUUUAGCAUACAGCCCAGGAUUCCUGCUCCUUUCCCUCUGUUUAAACCUGGCAUAGGCAAGCUCGGCCCUCCAGAUGUUUUGGGACUACAACUCCCAUCAUCCCUAGCUAACAGGACCAGUGGUGAAAAGUCAAAGUGCGGCUUAUAUUCAGAACCAAGUACUGCACGUCCGCCUCCUGGCACUACCACCCUGAAUGGGGGCGGCCGGCGCCGGCUUGGGGAGGGAAUGCCAGGAGGCGAGCAUGCAGCGCACUCAGAACCAAGCGCCGGCCACCUCCGUUCCCCAUUCAGGGCGGUAGGGCCAGGAGGCAGGCUGCACCCGCAAAUAAGCCUUGAAUUUUUAAGGGUGCAGCUUAUUUGCUGGUGCGUCUUAUAUUCGUGCCAAUAAGGUAGAUAAAAUUAACAUGCACAAAUGUUAUGCAAAUUUGUGAGGUGGAACUGUGCCCUGAGUCUGUUAAGUACCUAGCAAUGCCCCUGAAAUCAAGUCUCUAAUCCAGUGUUCCGACAAAUAAGUGCAAAAGGGCUUAGCUCUUGCUUUUAAUUUUUUUAAAAUUAAAAAUGUCUUUUGGUUUUGUUCAUUGGUUUUAAUCAUGUAAGCCUAUCUGCAUUUAGGGGUUUUUUUCUCUCUCGCUCUUUUCCAUUUGGUUAUGAAUCUUCCAUCCCAGUGUCAUCUUAAACACCCACACACUUACCCGGCUGCAAAAUUUCUGGCUACGAGCCUGCAUGCAUUCCUAAAACGUACUUGGUAUGCUCUGUGUCUGCAUUUCCCUCCUUCCACAAAGGCAGGCUCUGAAAUUUGAAAUGGAGAAAGAAAGAGAAAAAAGAGGGGAAACAGUAUGAAGAAUGUAUUAGCAGGAUCAAUGUCCGCAUUGCUUUGAGCUAAAAGAUCUGGAAGCCCUCUUCACAUCCUGGUGUGUGUGUACCUCAGGUUCCUAAUAGCAGCUGCAGCGCACAGCCUAGCACAUUAAUUCCGAGGCUGCCAUAAAUAGGGCUGUCAGACCUGAAAUAUCACUGAAUUUCAUUAAUCUUGAAAGUGCAUCACCAUCGCUGCUCGGAUAUGGACUACCAGGCUAUAUUCAUUACUUUGAAAACACGGGGGGGGGGAGAAAUAUGGUGGCCCCCCUCAAAGAGUCAGCGGGGAGGGGCUUAACAUGGCACAUGAAACAAGUCUGCCUUGGCCUCAUCUGUGGAGGAGAGGUUUGCAUUGUAUUAUUGUACCAGGGAGGGAGAGGAUUAAGGGACUGAGGGUCAGUAGCUCAGUGAGUAGACUGAGGUGAUUUUUCAGGGGCAGGAAGGGGUCACAGAGAGUUUGAGGCUUUUCAGGCACUAGGAGCAGAUGCUGGAUAGAAAGACAAUGGACUGAGGCCAGCGAAUUCAAGGUGCUAGACGCUGAAAAGAAUACCAAUAUGACUCUGGGUGGAUCGAGUUGCUAAACAGCAAGCUGCUUAAAAACAGGUGGAUUUUGAAUAAGUGCAGGAUACAGGAAGCAAUUUUAAAAAAAUAAUAGAAAGGAGAGGGAAAUUGGGAGAUUCCACUACUGAUCUUUGUUUCUGCUAAGGAAAGUGAGCUGAUCGUAAUCUGCGUGUUUAUUAUAAACUUGACACUCAGUGCCUCCCUGAAUUAUUCAGUAGGAGCUGUGAUCUCAAUUACAGGGUAUAUCCCAGAGGUACAAAGAGAAGGGAAUAUUUGGGACCAUUCGAACUCUUUGAUGCAGCAUUUGAAAAGGCUGUGACAGAUGGGCACUUGCAUCCCCUGUAAUCAAACCGGUCCUUAACAGAGGAGCAGAGCGGAUGAACAGGUCCAGCACUCCAGCACGCUGCUUGAUGUUCUGACCUGGCUGGUGUAAUCUCAGUUUGCAUAGCACCCCAGUAUGAAUGAAAAGGGACGUGGGUGGCGCUGUGGUCUAAACCACAGAGCCUAGGGCUUGCCAAUCGGAAGGUCAGUGUUCCGAAUCCCCGUGACGGGGUGAGCUCCCAUUGUUUGGUCCCAGCUCCUGCCAACCUAGCAGUUCGAAAGCAUGUCAAGUGCAAGUAGAUAAAUAGGUACCACUCUGGCGGGAAGGUAAACGGCGUUUCCGUGCGCUGCUCUGGUUCGCCAGAAGUGGCUUAGUCAUGCUGGCCACAUGACUCAGAAGCAGUAUUUAUUGGCCCUUGGCCAAUAAAGCGAGAUGAGAGCUGCAACCCGAGAGUCGGCCACGACUGGGCCUAACAGUCAGGGGUACCUUUACCAGUAUGAAUGAGAACCUGGAAAGAGGGUGCAGAGAAAGGAAGGAGCAAGUAACAUUGCUCCACUAUAGUGUCAUAAGGCAAUCAAGCAAAUAGGAAUCAGAAGAAACCUAAGGACAAGAUUUGUAUGGAUCAAUAUUUGCUUUCAAGCAGCUCUUGUUGUCAGUAUACACUUGCUAUAGCACACUCAGAAGAACCAGACAUGCAGUUUUUCCUCUUUCCUCCCUACACAUGCUUGGGGUAGUAGGGUGGUGGUCUUAAAGUGCCACAAUAUGUUUUGUUGUUUAUGCUGCAGUAGACUAACACAGUUAAAGGUAAAGGUAAAGGGACCCCUGACCAUACGUUUCAGUCGUGGCCGACUCUGGGGUUGCGGCACUCAUCUCAAUUUAUUGGCUGAGGGAGCCGGCGUACAGCUUCCGGGUCAUGUGGCCAGCAUGACUAAGCUGCUUCUGGCGAACCAGAGCAGCGCAUGGAAACGCCGUUUACCUUCCCGCUGGAGCGGUACCUAUUUAUCUACUUGCACUUUGCCGUGCUUUCGAACUGCUAGGUUGGCACAGUUACCCCUCUGGAAUUUAAGAAACAUUAGCAUUAUUUUGUCAAACACUAUGACUGCUCAUUCACAUUGGUAAACCAGGCAGAUUCCCAGCUAUUGGUAAAGUAGUGUGCACUACAGCGUUAUUAACUAUUAUGCCAUGCAUUUGAUUUGUGAUGCAUUACCAAAAUGUUUCAGAAUCCACCAUGAAUCUUGAAGGACAUAGAUAGGGAAGCCAACUUCUUGGAUACUAGCUCUAGUCCAAAAAACCAUGUACCAUUACUACUUCAUAUUGACAAUAAACUUUGCUAUUUAUAUUGUCUUUGGCAGGUGGCAUGGUCUACCACUUUGAUGGCAUCUGGAACACUUCAUCCAGUUGUGGGAUGUAAUCCACUGGGAGCAGUCAAGUACAACAUUCCUUGUCUUGCUAGAGUGGCCAUGCAAGGGAAUGUUUGGUCCAGCCGGUCGAACUUCCUGUUCCUCCUGGCCUGGAGCAUCCUUCCUUGCAUGUGACUAGUAGGUGGGCGUGACCUUACCUGAUCUAACAAAAAGUCCAGUCACACUGCCACCAUCUUCUCUUUGAUCUUCCUUUUCGUCCUGUGAACUUCCUGCACUGCUGGCUGCCAGCCAAGCAGUUUCCCUAGGUUAUCUUCCAUGUUGUUGUUGUUGUUUAGUCGUUUGGUCGUGUCCGCCUCUUCGUGACCCCAUGGACCAGAGCACGCCAGGCACUUCUGUCUUCCACUGCCUCCCGCAGUUUGGUCAAACUCAUGCUGGUAGCUUCGAGAACACUAUCCAACCAUCUCAUCCUCUGCCGUCCCCUUCUCCUUGUGCCCUCCAUCUCCCCCAACAUCAGGGUCUUUUCCAGGGAGUCUUCUCUUCUCAUGAGGUGGCCAAAGUAUUGGAGCCUCAGCUUCAGGAUCUGUCCUUCCGGUGAGCACUCAGGGCUGAUUUCCUUCAGAAUGGAGAGGUUUGAUCUUCUUGCAGUCCAUGGGACUCUCAAGAGUCUCCUCCAGCAUCUCCCAUACAUAUUUGUAAUUUUAAGCCUAAAGCCUGCCUUCAGGGAUCACACUGUGCUCUGCCUGAUCGUGAGUAAAACUACUUUUUGUUACUUAUGAAUAAGACUGUGGUGUCUUUAUUCUUUUAGGAGGGAUUUACAAGGGGUCUUUACCAGGAACAUAUUAGAACACAUUUCAAUCUGGACAAGCCAUUGUACCAUUAGGCAAAGUGAGGCAGUUGCCUCAGGUGGCAAAUACUGGAGGCGGCAACAGCUCCCACAGCUGUUGUUUCUGAGCCCCCACCCUAACAUUCCCCUUCAUUGGAGUUCUUUUAGGAGGGCCAUACACUCUGUUUUGCGCCCUCUAAACUAGCCUGCUGCCCUCAGAACUACCAGUCAGUUUGGUUUCUGUGCAUGGAAUGUACAGGCAUCAAAAUGUCUUGUGCUGAUUCUGAAAGUAACUGCCCUUUUUUUGGGGUGAUAGAAAGUAGAAUUCAGGCACAUCCCAAUUGUGAAAUUAAUUGCUACUUUUGAGAACUUAUCUUUCAGAUGUUUAUGUAAUACUCUUUUAAAACUCUGAUCUUCUAAACCAUUUUUAAAUCAUUUUAAUUGGGUUUUAAAAGAAUUUAACAGAAUUAAGGAAGAAAAUGGGGUUGUCAUUCAAUGUAAGCAGUGCAGCAUGUUUAAACUAGCAAAUCCCUCAUUGUGACACACUCUGAUAAAAUGUAGGCUGUGUAGUGUGACUGGAUUGUGAAUAUCUGAACAAUAGAAAAAUACGUUUCUCUAAAGUGGAUUGCUUGUAUCAUAAUGGAUAAAGAGAUCAGAAAGAAGGGAGAGAGGGAAAUCUGAAAAUGUAAUGGACUGAUACUGCAUAUGAAGAAAAGAUUAGUAAAUUCUGAAUGCUUAACUCAGCCUUUGCCAACCUGGUGCCCUUCAGAUAUUUAAGUCUACAGCUCCCAUCAGCCCCAGCCAGUCAGAGUUAUAUUCAAAAACAUUUGGAAGAAGAAGAAGAGGAAGAGGAGGAGGAGAAGAAGAAGGAGGAGUUUGGACUUGAUAUCCCGCCUUUCACUCCCUUUAAGGAGUCUCAAAGCAGCUAACAAUCUCCUUUCCCUUCCUCCCCCACAACAGGGAAUCGAUCCCGGUUCACCAGAUUACAAGUCCACCGCUCUUAACCACUGCACCACGCUGGCGGAGGACACCAGACUGAUGAGAGGUUGGUUUCACUAAUAGAGAGUUGCAGGGAAAAUAAUAAUUAAAUUAUAUCUGAUUGCAAUUCUUGCAUCACAUUGCUCCUCUGGCAGCACAUUUAAGAACUGGGAACUGGAAAGUGACCCUAUACAUCGAAUGAAGUAAAGAUUCUAAUCAAUCGUGUGUUUUGCCUGCAUGCCACAGUAGCUUAAUUCAUUCAGAAGAUGGGGAAGGAGAAAUAAUCAUACAUUUCUAAAGAUUAUAUGUUUAUUAUAUAAAGAAUGCCUUGCUUUUCUUUAUAACAUAAAUUCUAAAGUCAUCUUGAUAUCAAUUUUUAACUGUGUUUAAAAGCUAUUGUUUGUUUAAGAGUUGUAUACCCCACCUUCCUCCCAAAGGCCUCCAGUCCUUCAAGGGUGCCUUUGGUGUAAUAUGGCCUCUACAUUUCUGCCCCCACUUGUCAUUGCUAUGUAAAGGUAAAGGUAAAGGUACCCCUGCCCGUACGGGCCAGUCGUGACCGACUCUAGGGUUUGCGCGCUCAUCUCGCUCUAGAGGCCAGGAGCCGGCGCUGUCCGAAGACACUUCUGGGUCACGUGGGCAGCGUGACGAAGCUGCACUGGCGAGCCAGCACCAGCGCCGCGCACGGAAACGCCGUUUACCUUCCCGCUAAGUAAGCGGUCCCUAUUUAUCUACUUGCACUUGGGGGUGCUUUCGAACUGCUAGGUGGGCAGGAGCUGGGACCGAACGGCGGGAGCUCACCCCGCCGCGGGGAUUCGAACCGCCGACCUUACGAUCAGCAAGUCCUAGGCACUGAGGUUUUACCCACAGCGCCACCCGCGUCCCCAUUGCUAUGUACCUACCAUCAAACAUAGUGGCUUAAACAAGUGCAAUAAGUAGAGGGUUAUGGAUAAAACAAACUCAUGUUAAGCACCUAAACCAGGGAUAGGGAGCCUAUGGCCCUCCAGAUUUCAUUGGACUACAACCCCUCCACCCCCCACAGACACGAUCAUUGACCAUGGUGGCUGGGCUGAUGAGCACUGGAGCCCCAACAAUCAGGGCCAUUUUAAGCAUAUCCGGCGCAGUGGUGCAAAGAUCCCUCCAGUGCGCCCCUCCCAUUUCCCAGAGUUGUCAACCUUUUCCCAAGCCGCUGCGGGGAUCGCUCUCCUUCCGCAGAGGCUUGGGAGGCAAGCUGCACGCCCGCCAGCCAUAUGGUUGACAGGGCGCAGCUGGUGGGCGUGCAGGAGGGAAAGGGGGGCCGCCGGCAAAGCCGCGCAGCUCCCCCACUUGCUGGGGCGCCCCUGAGAGGCCAGCGCCCUGGCGUAACGCACCAGUAAGCCCAACAGGAAGGACGGCUCUGCCAACAGUACUUAGAGAGCAGCAGCUUCCCCAUCUCUAAUCUAAACACAGAGGCCACAUGGAGCCUUCCAACAUGCCCUCCAUACUUGUUUUGUUUACUCCUCAUGCAGCCCUGUAUAAUAAUAAUAAUAAGAAUAAGAAUAAUUUUAUUUGUACCCCAUCCAUCUGGCUGUGUUUCCCCAGCCACUUUGGGCGGCUUCUAACAAAGACCCAAAAUACACUAAAAUGUCACACAUUAAAAACUUCCCUGAACAGGGCUGCCUUCACUGCCUUCAGAUGUCUUCUGAAUGUCAGGUAGUUGUUUAUCUCUUUGACAUCUGAUGGGAGGGCGUUCCACAGGUCGGGCGCCACUACCGAGAAGGCCCUCUGCCUGGUUCCCUGUAACUUGGCUUCUCGCAGCAAGGGAACUGCCAGGAGGCCCUCAGAGCUGGACCUCAGUGUCCGGGCAGAACAAUGGAGGUGGAGAUGCUCCUUCAGGUAUACUGGGCCGAGGCCGUUUAGGGCUUUAAAGGUCAACACCGACACUUUGAAUUGUAUAGGGAAGCUUUCUAAGGUUUACUGUUUUUCUGUGUUUUUAAUAUAUGCUGGAAGCUGCCCAGAGUAGCUUGGGCAACCCAGUCAGCUGGGCGAGGUACAAAUUACUGUUUUUAUUAUUAUUUAGUACUGUAGUCAGAGUGGAAGAGCAGAUCUCGGUUGUCUUCCAGUUCUGCUGAACCAACAAUGUUCUCCCUGCUCCUCAGUAAGGCAGGAGCCUCUCUGCCAAGAAGAGGAAAGGAUGGGCCUUCAUAAUGCGUGUUCAUGAUCUCUUCCUCUAUCUCCCCCACCUACUUCCCCACAUUCUCUUCCACCACACUGUGGUACAGCCUCAAGAAAUGGAACCCAAGUUAGGGGUACGUACACGAAGGGGAGGAACUAUGAAGAGAUUGCCUGGCUCAGUUCCAUAUGAGGCAAAAGUGGACUCUCACUCCAAAUACUGGAGUCACCAGGGACAGAAUAUAAACUUCGUUCCCACCCCUGUGGUCUCCCUGAAUACUAAACCCUUUAACACUCUCCUUUAUAGCUGCUUCUUAUGGGGUGGUGGGAAUAGUGCUGUACUUGGGGGCAAAAAGUGCUUAGUAAUUAUGACAGUGAAUGCCUCAGCCUCCAUUAACUCGAUGGAGGGAUGGGCAAUGCAUUGUGUGUUUGGUACACAGAAAUGCCUUGUACAUGCAUAUACAGUGGUACCUCGGGUUAAGUACUUAAUUCGUUCCGGAGGUCCGUACUUAACCUGAAACUGUUCUUAACUUGAAGCACCACUUUAGCUAACGGGGCCUCCUGCUGCUGCCGCGCCGCCGGAGCAGGAUUUCUGUUCUCAUCCUGAAGCAAAGUUCUUAACCUGAAGCACUAUUUCUGGGUUAGCGGAGUCUGUAACCUGAAGCAUAUGUAACCUGAAGCGUAUGUAACCCGAGGUACCACUGUACACAUUCCAGGGUUUCCCUGCAGUAUACACAUUACUGUCUCAGGGCAAAUCUAAACAAAUGAAAACUGAAAAUUGGGAAACACUGGCCUGCAAGCACUCCAGUUGGAGAACAGCCUUUACCAAAGGUGUCAUGGGCUUUGAAGACACUCGAACUCAGGAUCCAAAGGGAAAACGUGCUAAGAGGAAGGCCAGCUUGGCAAAUCCACACCGUGACCAGCUCCCGCCCGGGAAUCAAUGUCCCCACUGUGGAAGGACGUGUGGAUCCAGAAUUGACCUCCACAGUCACUUACGGACUCAUUGUUAAAACCGUGUUUAUGGAAGACAAUCUUACUCGGCUACGAGGGAUCGCCAAAGAAAGAAGAAGACUUCUAACCACAAACACCACUCAUCACAAUGAUAGACAGUUUGCACCUUAGCAGUAAUGUCUUGCCUUAGUCUUAGGCUUUCAGCAGCUGGACUCAUCUGUGUGCUCAGCAGGACCCCGCGUGCACAGCAUCCGUCUGAUGGGCAGCUGGUUCAGAGCUGCUGAUUUCCGGCAAUGCUUUUCAAUCCCACCCAUGCACACAGAAUGCAUACUUUCAGACUUUCUCCACCAUCUGGUUGAGACCCCUGCAUCCGAGAGUGGAGCUGUCUAUAGAAUUCUAUUCCUGGGAAUUCACAGGGGGAAGAUUCCAUUUUUGCAGCGUCCUCUCUGCUUCAUGCAAGCAGAAAGAUCACUGCGGCUUGUUUUUCAGACGAUGCCUACGGAAAUGAAUUUACUGCAUGGCUAUGAAGUGUGUGCAAACUGGUAGUUUACUUUCAGAAUGCUGUUGAGCCCUUCCAUCUGAUACUUGAGAUAGCCUGCUCAGUUUAAAAAGAGGAACAGGUUUAUAACCCUCUGUGCUGUGGAAAGAGGUGAAGGAGGUAAUACAAUGGUCUAGUCAGGCAAAUCAUUGACUAUGCAAAAGCCUUUGACUGUGUCGACCACAGCAAACUAUGGCAAGUUCUUAAAGAAAUGGGAGUGCCUGAUCACCUCAUCUGUCUCCUGAGAAAUCUCUAUGUGGGACAAGAAGCUACAGUUAGAACUGGUUAUGGAACAACUGAUUGGUUCAAAAUUGGGAAAGGAGUACGACAAGGCUGUAUAUUGUCUCCCUGCUUAUUUAACUUAUAUGCAGAAUUCAUCAUGCGAAAGGCUGGGCUGGAUGAAUCCGAAGCCGGAAUUAAGAUAGCCGGAAGAAAUAUCAACAACCUCAGAUAUGCAGAUGAUACAACCUUGAUGGCAGAAAGUGAGGAGGAAUUAAAGAACCUUUUAUUGAGGGUGAAAGAGGAGAGCGCAAAAUAUGGUCUGAAGCUCAACAUCAAAAACGAAGAUCAUGGCCACUGGUCCCAUCACCUCCUGGCAAAUAGAAGGGGAAGAAAUGGAGGCAGUAAGAGAUUUUACUUUCUUGGGCUCCAUGAUCACUGCAGAUGGUGACAGCAGUCACGAAAUUAAAAGAUGCCUGCUUCUUGGGAGAAAAGCAAUGACAAACCUAGACAGCAUCCUAAAAAGUAGAAACAUCACCUUGCCAACAAAGGUCCGUAUAGUAAAAGCUAUGGUUUUCCCAGUAGUGAUGUAUGGAAGUGAGAGCUGGACCAUAAAGAAGGCUGAUUGCCAAAGAAUUGAUGCUUUUGAAUUAUGGUGCUGGAGGAGACUCUUGAGAGUCCCAUGGACUGCAAGAAGAUCAAACCCAUCCAUUCUUAAGGAAAUCAGCCCUGAGUGCUCACUGGAAGGACAGAUCGUAAAGUUGAGGCUCCAAUACUUUGGUCACCUCAUGAGAAGAGAAGACUCCCUGGAAAAGACCCUGAUGUUGGGAAAGAUGGAGGGCACAAGGAGAAGGGGACGACAGAGGAUGAGAUGGUUGGAUGGUAUUCUCGAAGCUACCAGCAUGAGUUUGUCCAAACUGCGGGAGGCAGUGGAGGACAGAAGUGCCUGGCGUGCUCUGGUCCAUGGGGUCACGAAGAGUCGGACACAACUAAAUGACUAAACAACAACAACAAAGUCAGGCAAAGGGACUUUGUUUUUCAGAAUGGUGUUCCCUCUCUGUAAGCUCCUUGUCUCAGUUCCUCUGCUGUUCCUCAAAGUAGACUAGUGAUAGGAAAAAACAGGUACCUUAUUUGAUGCCUUAUCUACUCCCUGCUAGCUCAAAGGGUGAGAUGUCUUGGGGGGGGGGGGUUCUUGAUUGCACAAUUGCAUAAAUUAACAAAAACAAAAGUGGAGCCCUGCUGGAUCACACCCAUCUAGUCCAGGAUUGUGUUCCCCACAGUGGUCAACUUGAUGCCUGUGGGAAAGUAGUGCAAUGAUGUAGUUUUUAGAAUCUGGAUAUAAUGGGGUUCCAGGGAGGCCAGUCUUUAGCUAGUGGUGUGUUUUAUUUCAUAAUGUGGUAUGCCAGCCCUGGGGUAUUUGGGGUUCUUCCUGCUCAUUCUGCUGCGAGGGACUCCAGACUUCUGUCCUAGAGUCCUGCCCUGAUGUCACCACCGAUGGGACACCCCUAAGCACAGUUGCAUUCUCCAGCUCGUAUUCCCCCAAAACUGGUAUUCAGGUGCAUGGUGCUUCUGAUUUUAGAAGUAGUAUGCAGGCAUCAUAACAUAACCAUUGGUAGGCUUAUCUUCCAUGAAUCCGACUAAUCUCCCCUUAAAGCCAUCCAUAAGUUGGUGGUCAUCCAUACAGCUUGUGAUAAACCCUGCUAGUCCCCUAUUAUGAAGGUACUGACCCAAAUUUACAGGAUUCUUGUUGGAAUUAUGGAAGCAUUGUAUGUGAUGUGCUUUAACACCCCCCAAAUCCCUAUAAAUAGGAUAAGGGGCAAACUAUAAGUAGGGAUUGGUGUAGUUACAGAUAGGUCUGCCAUAGUCGAAACAAAAUAAAAAAAAUCCUCCCAGUAGCGCCUUAGAGACCAACUAAGUUUGUUAUAGUACAGUGGUACCUUGGGUUACAUACGCUUCAGGUUACACACUCCGCUAACCCAGAAAUAGUGCUUCAGGUUAAGAACUUUGCCUCAGGAUGAGAACAGAAAUCGGGCUCCCGCGGCACAGCAGCAGGAGGAGGCCCCAUUAGCUAAAGUGGUGCUUCAGGUUGAGAAAAGUUUCAGGUUAAGAACGGGCCUCCGGAACGGAUUAAGUACUUAACCCAAUGUACCACUGUAUAGUUAAAGCUAUGGUUUUCCCAGUAGUGAUGUAUGGAAGUGAGAGCCAGAUCAUCAAGAAGGCUGAUCGCCGAAGAAUUGAUGCUUUUGAAUUCUGGUGCUGGAGGAGACUCUUGAGAGUCCCAUGGACUGCAAGAAGAUCAAACCUCUCCAUUCUGAAGGAAAUCAGCCCUGAGUGCUCACUGGAAGGACAGAUCCUGAAGCUGAGGCUCCAAGACUUUGGCCACCUCAUGAGAAGAGAAGACUCCCUCGAAAAGACCCUGAUGUUGGGAAAGAUGGAGGACACAAGGAGAAGGGGACGACAGAGGACGAGAUGGUUAGACAGUGUUCUCGAAGCUACCAGCAUGAGUUUGACCAAACUGCGGGAGGCAGUGGAAGACAGGAGUGCCUGGCGUGCUCUGGUCCAUGGGGUCACGAAGAGUUGGACACGACUAAACGACUAAACAACAACAACAACAAGUUUGUUAUUGGUAUGAGAUUUUGUGUGCAUGCACACUUCUUCAGAUCUCAUACCAACAACAAACUUAGUUGGUCUCUAAGGUGCUACUGGAAGGAUUUUUUUUUUUUGCUUAGGGAUUGGUGUGUGAGACAAAAGGAUAAAUGUGUCACACCACCAUGAAUGUACACCGAGCACCACGAUGGCAGGCAUCCUAUUAGUUAAUCUAAUGGAAUAGCUACAAAAAUGGCGAUUGCAUGAGUAAAAUGAUUUUAUGAACUGCCUCUUAGAAAGGGGUCAGAAUGGGGAAGGAGAGCCAAGGAGGCUGCUGACUACAAAGUAAUGUCCACAGAGCCUAAAGAUUUUUGUAAACUGGUGGAAAAUGGGGAGGUGUUAAUAUCCAAACCAGUUGUUGUUGUGGAGUUCAUUUUCUGCUUCUUAAAAUCAGAAGGCUACAUAUUCAUCAGCUGUAGAACAUGCUUAGCUGUCCUUCUGCACAACCCAGGACUUGGCUUAGACGUGUGCAGUUUCUCAUAAACCCUUCCCCCCCUCUCCCUUGCCUGGCCCCAGGAAGUAACUGAGAUGUCUGUAUAUCUCACAUGGCUCACUUUGUGAUUGAAUAGCUCAAGUCAUUUGCAUGGCCUGUGCAGCUGUCCCGGGCAGCUGUGAGCCCUUUGUGAUAGCAUGUGUGUCCGACACACUUGCAAAUCAAUAAGAGGGUGGGGGGAGUUCAAUAAGAGAAAAAGGAGAGUGGGGGAGGAAGUGACAGUUUCUGUAGUGUAGGAUAAUACACUGAUAAUUUUUUUAAAGUAAUUUUUAAACUUCUGCCACUGAUAAAUCUCUGUAUGCAAAGGACGAUUCUGGGGUGCAUUUUAGGCUGCUCACUCAAGUUCACGUCGUAGUCUAUUGCGUUUUCUCACUUUGACCCUGUGCAAACUUUGGCUGACUCCUACAGAUUGAGACCACUAAUUUAUAUUGGGUUGUUAAAUAUUCCCUCACUGCCUGCUUGGUGAGAAGUGGAUCAUGGGAGACUUUACCGGGGUCUUUCUGGAAUAUUUAUUUUAAAAUGUACCAACAGAGUGUAAAGGUAAAGGGAUCCCUGACCAUUAGGUCCAGUCGUGACCAACUCUGAGGUUGCGGCGCUCAUCUCACUUUACUGGCCGAGGGAGCCGGCAUACAGCUUCCGGGUCAUGUGGACAGCAUGACUAAGCCGCUUCUGGCGAACCAGAGCAGCGCUCGGAAACGCCGUUUACCUUCCUGCCAGAGCGGUACCUAUUUAUCUACUUGCACUUUAACAUGCUUUCAAACUGCUAGGUGGGCAGGAGCAGGAACUGAGCAACGGGAGCUCACCCCGUCGCAGGGAUUUGAACCGCCAACCUUCUGAUCGGCAAGCCCUAGGCUCUGUGGUUUAACCCACAGCACCACCUGCAUAAGUGGAGGCAAACAAGCAUCCAAGCAAGGCAGCCUAUCUGUUCCUUCACAGGAUCAGAUUGCCAGGGAAAGGCAUUGAACCUGCCUUCAAUCAACCCAUCAGUCACCUUCCCCACUGCAGAUAAAUUGCUCAUUCAAGGGACCAUCCACACCCAUUAAGAAACAUUAACACUGUUUUGUCAAAUCCCACUCUAGUUAGGUGCGACCAGGGUGCUGUAGUCAUAAGCAAUGGGGCCACAAACGUAUGACAUCUUGGCUUAUCCCCAAAUAAUCUUGGGACCUGUAGUUUGGUGAGAGUGCUGAGAAUUCAGUUAGAGCUCCCUUGGCUCCAGCACUAGCACCAAACCACUCCCUGGGGUUCUUUGAGAAGAGGGUACAAAUAUUAAACCAGUUUUAAGUUGGUGCCUCUAUAUUUGUGUCCAUCAUACAUUUGCAGCAGUGCCUUUCAGGGGAUUCUGGUCAAGCUGCGUUUCAAAAAAGUCUUCCACGGCUGAUUUUUUAAAUGUAGAAAUUGAAGGGUCCCUGGUUGCAGUUUGAAAACCACUUACUUAAAUGAUGCGGUCAUAUGAAAUUGUGAAGCAAACACACUCUAUUUAAACAAUUCAGUGGGGUUAUGAUGCUAGCCAUGCUGCAAUGGUAAGGAUUUCUUUUAAAAAAUAUCAUUUUGUGAAAACAAAUUAUUCAACUAAGAUGUUGCAGACAGUGAAAUGUUUAGUAUGCUCCAGAGUCAUCUGGAUGAGAGAGUACUGGAGUUCUUUUUGUAACAUACAGUGGUACCUUGGUUCUCAAACGCCUUGGUACUUAAACAACUUGGAACCAAAACACUGCAAACCCGGAAGUAAGUGUUCUGGUUUGCGAACUUUUUUCGGAAGCCGAACGUGCUCCGUUUUGAGUGUUGCACUUCCAGUUUGAGUGCCACACUUCCAUUUUGAGUGUUCCACUGAGGUCUGCCUGUUUUUGCUAUUUAUUUUGAGUUUUUGUCUUUGCGGCUCUUUUGUUUUUGUGACUGUGUGGAACCCAGUUCAGCUACUGAUUGAUUGUGUGACGGCAGUACAUUAAUUAUUGCUUUCAUUUUAUGGAUCAAUGGUCUCGUUAGAUAGUAAAAUUCAUGUUAAACUGCUGUUUUAGGGGUUGUUUUUAAAAGUCUGGAACAGAUUAAUCCACUUUGCAUUACUUUCUAUAGGAAAGCAUGCCUUGGUUUUGGAACGCUUUGGUUUUGGAAGAGACUUCCGGAACAGAUUAAGUUUUAGAACCAAGGUACCACUGUACUGUUUAUUUAGUAGCAAGCAAGCAAGCAAGCGCACAUGUAAUAAUUGUCCUAAAGCAACGUCUUCUGUGAUCCUGAAAUGCUGUUUCAUAAGUUAGAAAUCUCAUGGCAGUCUUUCUUAGCUAGAUUCAAAAUUUAAGUGGGUUUCUUGUUCUCUGACAUGCAAUUGUAUGCACCAGGGGUGCCAACUUGAAUAAAAUAUUGGGGGAAGACCAGGUAAACCCUGGCCAGCAUAAUUGAUCAUAUGACAUGGUGCACACACACCAUUCCCCCCCCCCAUAAUGAUAAUUUUAUUAUUUAUACCCCACACAUCUUACUGGGUUGCCCCAUGCACACACACCAUUUGAAUGGCAAUGCCCAUCAACUUUUGGGGGCCUAGCCCCCUCAAAUAUUUUAUUGUGGGGGCCAAAGACCCCUCAGCUCCUAUGCUAUGCAUAUUUACUCAGAAGUUGCACUGCGUUCAGUGGAGCUUACUCCACCUAGGAUUGCAGUUUGACCUCAAAAGUGCACAAAUCAUCCUUUUCACCUCCUUGUCAACCAAGCAGGUGGGUGUUACACAUUUAGACACAGAAGCCCAUUAAUUAGGGUCCAACAUCGACUGCUGAACUAGAUACGGAAUUGAGGAGGACAUUUUUCUCAGCUGGUCUAUGUUCUGCAACAAUAUCCCGAUAAAACUGUAGCCUUAUAAUUAAUAUUCUAACCUGGUUGGCAAAUCUGAGAUACACUUUUUCAUUAAUAAUGGACUGUCAUUUUGUCUAAUUCCACUAAGGAUGCUUCUAGAUGGGGGCCUUAUACAGUGGUACCUCGGGUUACAUACGCUUCAGGUUACAGACGCUUCAGGUUACAGACUUCGCUAACCCAGAAAUAGUACCUCGGGUUAAGAACUUUGCUUCAGGAUGAGAACAGAAAUCAUGCUCCGACGGCGUGGUGGCAGCUGGAGGCCCCAUUAGCUAAAGUGGUACCUCAGGUUAAGAACAGUUUCAGGUUAAGAACGGACCUGCGGAACGAAUUAAGUACUUAACCGGAGGUACCACUGUAGUGCCAACAGGUCUUUGAGAUCUACAAAUAAUUGGACGAGAUGACCCUAUGGGUCCCUUCCAACUGUAUAAUUUUAAUAAACAUCUAUCCUCGUAACUUUUUUGGCACACAGGACCCAAUAAUGCCGGACCCCAAAUCUAACAUCACAAGUGGCAAAGGUAAUAAAACGCUAGAUGAACAUUUCAGUCUAUGCCACUGAUUUUAAGAUUGCCAUAAUUGAGCGAAGGACUGUCAAAGGAUGCCUCUGUUAUGAAACUGCUGGAUUAAAAUUUGUAAAGGAGUUCCACUCGGUUCAUCUGGAUAUGAAUAGAGACAAUGCUUUCCUUUUCUAGUACAGAUGUUAAUUAGCUUAGCACGGCCAUGUUGUUUUAUCACCUAUUACUGCUGUUGUAAAGAGUUGCUGUGAUUGUUUUGCAAGCGGCUCUAGCAGAAUUGGCACGAUCUUGCAUUUAUUUCUUUUCUCCGUGAUUUUGCUGCUUACAACUCUCUGCCCACCCUACAUCUUACAAUCAUGUGCAUAACUGAUUACUGAUGAAGCAGAUUCUAGAACUUGAAAGCAUGUACCAUUAUAAGAUAUGUUACUGACUCUAAAGUGUCCCUGAAACUUAUUUUUUAAAAUAGCAAUCUUUUAGCAUUCUUGAAGAAGGAAAAGAAAUUUGCCCAUCUCUGAAGUGCACCCAAAACCAGUCUGACCAGAGCAAGUGGGAUAAAAUACUUUCAAAUACAGGCAUGUGUUUGUAGCAGUGUGCCAUCAAAGAGCCCUUCACCCUGGAAGGCAAGUAGGAAACAGUGCUUAAGCUAUCAUUCUGUGAAGGUCCCUAUCUAUAAUGUAAUAGGACUACUAUUGUGCUGUCACCUGUAGAGAUGACCUUCUCUCUAGGGAUUUGUUUUGUUAAUAGCUAAAGAUGCUGCCUCAAUGGGCAUUGAUGACUAAUAGCUGCUUGCUUGAAUGAGCAUUGAUGAUGGCUUUUGAUGGCUCCUUGUCACUGCUGCUGAGCGCCUCCUAGUUGUUUCAAAGAGGGCGGAGGGAAACAGUUUUGUAGAUGAAAGACAGAAGUUGUGUUUUUAUAGAGAAGAAGCAGAGAAGUGGGGCUGUAAGAGCAUGCUGUUUCCUUUGGGGGGAACCGAAGGUGCCUUAAAGGCACACUGAAUGCUUGCCUGCUCCUCUGGCUCAGUGUGUGAAGUAAAAAAAAGAGAGAAGCUUAUAAAAUGCACCAUAUGUUUCCAGGCCUCUUUAAAAAAUGUAUUUAUUAACUGACUUUCAAGAAUCAAUGUUCAUAAAGAAACAAUAAUUAAACUAGUGCAUCCUUCCUUCCAAUUCCUCCCCCUCUUCUCUCUUUGAGUGUCUGGAUUCCUCAUUACCUUCAUUAAGGUAAGUUUAAAUUCCAUACUUGUCUGGAUGUAUGCCUAGUGUAACAUCAGUUAUGCUAUGGUUACCUUAAUAGAGCCACUCAUAAUUUUCUGUGUGUUACCUACCAGUGUGACCUUUGUCCUUUCACUGUUUCAAAUAUACUUGAUGAAGUGGCGCAUUGUUCAACAAAAUCAUUGGGAUCUGUGUUGUUGUUCUUUGCUUUUAGCCAUGGGUAGGCAAAUUAGGGACGCGGGUGGCGCUGUGGGUAAAACCUCAGCACCUAGGACUUGCCGAUCGCAUGGUCGGUGGUUCAAAUCCCCGUGACGGGGUGAGCUCCCGUCGUUCGGUCCCAGCGCCUGCCAACCUAGCAGUUCGAAAGCACCCCCGGGUGCAAGUAGAUAAAUAGGGACCGCUUACCAGCGGGAAGGUAAACGGCGUUCCGUGUGCUGCGCUGGCUCGCCAGAUGCAGCUUGUCACGCUGGCCACGUGACCCGGAAGUGUCUGCGGACAGCGCUGGCUCCCGGCCUACAGAGUGAGAUGAGCGCACAACCCUAGAGUCUGUCAUGACUGGCCUGUACGGGCAGGGGUACCUUUACCUUUACCUAGGCAAAUUAAGGCCUGGGGGCCAGAUCCGGCCCAAUCGCCUUCUAAAUCCGGCCCACAGACGGUCCAGGAAUCAGCAUGUUUUUACAUGAGUAGAAUGCGUCCUUUUAUUUAAAAUGCAUCUCUGGGUUAUUUGUGGGGCAUAAGAAUUCGUUCAUUUUUUUCUCUCUUCAAAAUAUAGUCCAGCCCCCGACAAGGUCUGAGGGACAGUGGACCAGCCCACUGCUGAAAAAGUUUGCUGACCCCUGCAGCUGUUUCAUUGUUGUUGUUUAGUCAUUUAGUCGUGUCCGACUCUUCGUGACCCCAUGGACCAGAGCACGCCAGGCACUUCUGUCUUCCACUGCCUCCCACAGUUUGGUCAAACUCAUGCUGGUAGCUUCAAGAACACUGUCCAACCACCUCGUCCUCUGUCGUCCCCUUCUCCUUGUGCCCUCCAUCUUUCCCAACACCAGGGUCUUUUCCAGGGAGUCUUCUCUUCUCAUGAGGUGGCCAAAGUACUGGAGCCUCAGCUUCAGGAUCUGUCCUUCCAGUGAGCACUCAGGGCUGAUUUCCUUAAGAAUGGAUAGGUUUGUUCUUCUUGCAGUCCACGAGUGCCAUUUGGCACACUUUUUGAAGCCAUGUUAGAAGACAACUGAUGGUUUUGCCACCACUACAUGGGUGAGUACCUGGGGCACAGACUGCAAAAGAGAGCUCCAACCACUUGCAGAAAUGGCAAAAGCCAUGUUCCCCACCUCACACCAAAAUUUUGAUGGCCAAAGCACACUUUCUCCUCUGACUAGAUGUUCACUCUUACACCCAAGAAGGUUUAUUUUUAGGUUGUGGAGGAGUGACUCACCUUCAGAAGAGGUCCUUCCCUGUGUGUUUGAGUCACUGUUCUGGAAGGGCCUUUUCAUUGCAAGAAAGGAGGUGUGGAACAGUGACUCAUUCAGGCACACCAGACGGGGAGAUGCUCUUCCAAGGGUAAUUCUGUGGCAUCUCUACAUUGGGAGUGACUGAAUGGUCCAAGCAGACCCACUGCAGAACAAUGGAGGCUGCCUUCAGUCAACUUCCAGCUGUCUGCCUUCUUCCUUACAUCCACUUGCUGGCAGCGUCUUCCUCCAUAGCCUCAGCAUUGCCUUCAGCAAAGAGGAGGAGGAGGGCAAAGCUUGAAUUAGUGGGCUCUGCCUGUCAUUGGCUCUGGCUCCACCUACUGUUGGUCUCUGUGCUGCCUGCCUAAUGGGCACCAGCCACCACUGAUGCAGAGACUUGCUCCCAGCAGAGCCUGGUUAGGAGAGGUGCGUCUCAUGCAGAGUAGCAGUGUGCACUGUGUUCUGUGGAGAAAGGUUCAUUGGGCUCAUGGGAGUCUUUCAUUAAUUACAGACCCCCGCCAAGUGUCCCAGGGACAGUCCCGGAUUUACAGAGCCAUCCCAAUUUCUGAUCUAAUCCCAUAAAGCAGAGACAUCACCUUGCCAACAAAGGUCCGUAUAGUUAAAGCUAUGGUUUUCCCAGUAGUGAUGUAUGGAAGUGAGAGCUGGACCAUAAAGAAGGCUGAUCGCCAAAGAAUUGAAGCUUUUGAAUUCUGGUGCUGGAGGAGACUCUUGAGAGUCCCAUGGACUGCAAGAAGAUCAAACCUCUCCAUUCUGAAGGAAAUCAGCCCUGAGUGCUCACUGGAAGGACAGAUCCUGAAGCUGAGGCUCCAAUACUUUGGCCACCUCAUGAGAAGAGAAGACUCCCUGGAAAAGACCCUGAUGUUGGGAAAGAUGGAGGGCACAAGGAGAAGGGGACGACAGAGGACGAGAUGGUUGGAUAGUGUUCUCGAAGCUACCAGCAUGAGUUUGACCAAACUGCGGGAGGCAGUGGAAGGCAGAAGUCCUGGCGUGCUCUGGUCCAUGGGGUCACAAAGAGUCGGACACGACUAAACAACAACAACAAUCCCAUAAUGUCCCCCCCCUUUAGGAUGUCCCUAUUUUCAUUGGAGAAAUGUUGGGAGGGUAUGUAAUUAUCAUAUAUCUUGCAACACUUCAAAUUCACUUGUAAAUCCUCACGUGAUCAGGCAAAGGGUGAGGUGGGACCAUGCCUUGCCCCUCCCUGACACUAAACAAGCAGUCACAUGUCCAGAAGCACACGGGUAUCAGGUAGGGGUUUGUGUGUGUGUGUGUCCGUGUGAAACAGCAUGUGAGUUCCUGCUUCGCUCUCAUGCAUUCACUGAAUAUUCGGAGAGGUUAAAACACAAUUUCUACUUCCUUGAUUUCCAUAAACCUUCUUUUAUAAACCUUCUUUGGCAGAAAUAGAUAAACUAUUAUUACCAUGCUAGCUUAAUGGCUUUUUCAUAUACCUUCUUUCACCUUCUCAAUACAAAGAAUAAUUUGUUUGCUUUCUAAAUGUGUGUUAGCGGGACAACUUGGGGUGGGGGGGUAUGCGGCAAUUCUUGAGCAGGCAAUUCAGAAUAAUCAAUGAAGCUCUUUCAGGCUCAAGGUACAAUCUUAAGUGUAAUGGUAUUUUUCCACCCUAAACUGAGAAAUGUGCUUCAGGCCUGCGCACUUAGCAGUCUGCGGCGGCUUCAUAACAUCUGCCUAUGGGGGAAAGUUAUUGCUCAACGCUCAGGAAUGCAUAGCCAAUGUGACAGCAAUAGGAAAUAACCUCAGAGAUUAUAGUGGGGGCCACGAAGGGGCAGUGAAUUCAAAACACAGACUGAAUGUAAACAACAUCUUUAGGCUGCAGGACUUCUUCCUUGAGAGAUUUCACAGGAGUAAAGGCCUGUAGUUAUAAAAGAAACACACCAGGAAGAUGUUGAUUAAUCAAUUUUUUAAAAAAUAGAUGGGAUACAAAUGUACUGCAACGCUAAUUCAGUCAUGCAAAAUUUUAGAAAAAGCUAAUUAUUUAAAAUAUAAAAACAGGAUGGAAGGUAUUUCUUCUUCUCUCACCCAUGGAACAGAAUGCCUCUCUUCUGAGAUGGUGCCUACCAUUAGGCAAAUUGCAGCAGCCAAUUUUGGGUGUUAGGGAAGGGAAGCAAGUUGUUAGUUAUUCAUAUUUUAUUCUAUUUUUCCCCCUGCAAGGCAGGAGCUCUACAGUGGGAUUUUCUGCCUCAGUUUGCAAAGUGACUUGACAGGCCUUGGGUACUAUGUACCUUCAUUUUAGGGAAUGGGGCAUAAGCAGUCUCAAUUGAUGAAUCGAUUGAUUAAAGCUCCUAAGGCUUCUUUAAUCAUAGGACAAUCCUAUUAAAAUGUUUCACCUAUUCCCCUCAGCUUCCUUUUUCUGAACUGUGAGAGAGAUGCAUUUAGAACUAAGCUGCGAAAUGUAGAUGCCGAUGACAGGAAUGUGUGUUUCAUCUUUCCCAUGUCAUGCGUUUAGAAAUGUGUGAGGCGGCGGCAGGAACACACCAGCAAACUGAAGACCCGGAAGGACACAUAUUCAGUAUCACUGAGAAGGAGCUGUACGCUCAAUAGAGCGAUACGCACAUAGGGCUGCUCCACAGGAGGAAUAAACCUGGUCGUCCCUGAAUUUCCCCUUGCAUGGAAGAAGCUUGCAUGCACAUACGGCCCUUUCCGAAUUGGUCCAUUUUAAAGAAAAGAAGCUGGUAGACUCUCCUUCCUUGGAGGUUUUUAAGCAGAGGUGGGAGGGCCAUCUGUCAUGGAUACUUUAGUUGAGAUUCCUGCAUUGCAGGGGGGCUGGACUAGAUGACGCUCCAGGUUCCUUCCAACUACCAUAUUUUUUGCUCUAUAAGACUCACUUUUUCCCUCCUAAAAAGUAGGGGGGAAUGUGUGUGCGUCUUAUGGAGCGAAUGCAGGCUGUGCAGCUAUCACAGAAGCCAGAACAGCAAGAGGGAUCGCUGCUUUUGCUGCGCAGCAAUGCCUCUUGCUGUUCUGGCUUCUGAGAUUCAGAAUAUUUUUUUUCUUGUUUUCCUCCUCCAAAAACUAGGUGCUUCUUAUGGUCUGAUGCGUCUUAUACAGCGAAAAAUACGGUAUGCAGUUCUGUGAUUCACCCCAGAGCUAUAUACUUUCAGCAUAACUUGUGAAAAACGCUAUAUGCAUUGCAAAGGAUCUUGAAGUGUGUUGUAUAUCCAUGUGGGACCAGCAAAAAUAUGGUUGGGGUAUUUCGGGCAUGAGAACAGAAUACUCCAGUUAUUAGGUAAGGUAAAGGUAAAGGACCCCUGGAUGGUUAAGUCCAGUCAAAGGCGACUAUGGGGCUGCAGCGCUCAUAUCGCUUUCAGGCCGAGGGAGCUGGCGUUUGUCCACAGACAGCUUUCCGGGUCAUGUGGCCAGCAGGACUAAACCACUUUUGGCGCAACGGAACACUGUGACGAAAACCAGAGCGCACAGAAAUGCCAUUUACCUUCCCGCUGCAGUGGUAUCUAUUUAUCUACUUGCGCUGGUAUGCUUUCAAACUGCUAAGUUAGCAGGAGCUUGGACAGAGCAACAGGAGCUCACCCCAUCAUGGGGAUUCAAACCGCUGACCUUCUGAUCGGCAAGCUCAAGAGCAGGGGUCAGCAAAGGUUUAUCUUGCCUGGGCCAGAUCGGUCCCACGGAGAUCCCUCUGUGGGCCGGAUUGUGUGCACGCGCAUGCGAUUUUCGGCAUCUGCGCAGACGUGAUUUUCAGCAUCUGCACAUGCGCAGACACGAUAUUUGGCACCAUGGAAGCGAGUCCCCGCACUGCGCCUAUUUAGCACAGUGCACGAGAGGGCUGCUCAGUUCGGGGGCGGCUCGUAGGCCGGUCAAACGACCUCCGCGGGCCGCUUCUGGCCCAUGGGCCUUAGGUUGCUGACCCCUGCCCAAGAGGCUCAGUGGUUUAGACCAAAGCGCCACCCCCAUCCCUCCAGUUAUUAACCAACCAGUCAACUAGUGCUGCUCAGCUUAUAAGCAUUGCACAAUUAAUGUGUAUUCUUUCAGGCAUCUGAAUGAACUUUGCCCUUUCUUGUGUCAUGCAUAUUCAUAUUUAGUUAUGACUGACAGCAUCCCAUCAAAAGCCAGUCCCAGAAUGGACUGGCAUGUUGGACUGCCACUUUUUCCCCCAACCCCAGGCUCACCAGAACAUAUGAAAGCACCGGCCUUGCUAAUUGACUUCCCCUCCUGCUCCACUUAAACCUAUUCACAGGUUCAUCACAGGUCAUCAGGAUUUGCAAAUGAGUCAGAGCUGCUGGUCUAGACAUUGUUGAAAGUCAAUCAGCUAUAAAAGAGCAGUGGCCUUGGAUAAAUAAUGAUUGUGAUGGAAUAUUGAGUACAACAGAGAAAUUACGAAAAACAAAGAAACAACAUGAACGUUCCAAACUAAGGUGCUACUGUUUCAGUUCUCUACUCUUUUGUUAAAACCUGUUGCAAAUUCCAGAUUCACCCCAGCACAUUUGAUUGAUUUAGCUUUCAUUUGGGACCAUACCUAGGCUGAUUUAAAAUGGCUUGAUUGAGAGAGCUUUUAAUAGAUGUGUUUAAUUUCCUUUGGUGAUUUUUUUUUUAUUUAAAAAAUAGUUUUACUAUUGCAUGUGUUUGCUGUUCUUCUGCAGGAAAAAAAGUAUAUUCAAUUCUUUUAUUACUCCCAGUAAUAAAAGAAUACAAAGAAAAACCGAAAUAUACACAAGAUUUUAAACAUCACAUCACUCAAACUAGCUAAUGGCAACAGUCGGUUAAUUCAUUAAUUCCAACCAUUUCACUUCCCUGGGAGCACAUACUAGUGGCAGGCUACCACAACAAAAAAGGAUCUCCAAGUGGCCUCCACUUCAGCAAAAAUGGAAGAGAUCCCACAGAAAGAACCUUCGGGGAUCUUAAUAUCUGGUCAGAUUCAUGAAGAUAUAUGCAGUCCUUGGCCACCACCUUGAACUGGGCCUGGAAAUGGAUCGGAAGUGAGUGAAGCCGUUUCAAGAGUGCUAAGAGGUAUUCAGUUUGCCCAGCCAGUAAUUAGCUGCUGCAUACUGUACAAAGUGGAGUUUCUGAACCAUCUCCAUGUACAAAACACCACAAUAAUGCUUCACCAUUUGAGAAAAUGGCAGCUAGUACAGCAUUAAUCCUAGAAUUGUAGAGUUGGAAAUACAGUGGUACCUCGGGUUAAGUACUUAAUUCGUUCCAGAGGUCCGUUCUUAACCUGAAACUGUUCUUAACCUGAAGCACCACUUUAGCUAAUGGGGCCUCCUGCUGCUGCCAUGCCGCCGGAGCCUGAUUUCUGUUCUUAUCCUGAAGCAAAGUUCUUAACCUGAAGCACUAUUUCUGGGUUAGCGGAGCCUGUAACCUGAAGCGUAUGUAACCCGAGGUACCACUGUACUACAAGGGUCAUCUAGUCCAGGCAUGUCCAACAGGUAGAUCUACUGGUAGAUCACUGGACGUCUGCAGUAGAUCAUUGUUAGAUAAUUGGCUCUCCCCAAACUGUAGCUCCUUGACCCCACCCCCCAGAAUGGGCCUUCCUUCUUCCUAAAAAAAGCUUAACAACUUUGACCUGAACCCCAAAAAGGGGGAUAGAUCACUGUCAGUUUUUAACUCUUGUGAGUAGAUUGCAGUCUCUUGGGAGUUGGCCACCCCUGAUUCUAGUCCAAUCUUUUGUCCAACAUGGGACUCAAACCCACAACCUUGAGAUUAAGAGUCUCCAGUCCUAGUGACUAAGCUAUAAUGACAUUGAAUGCAUAUAUCUUGUUUACACAAGCAAGUUCUGAAGCUAUCUGAUCCAGAAAUUCAUAGAAAAAUAUUAGUACAAUUACUUUUUUUUUUUUUUUUGCAGGGCUUCAUUGUGGAUCCUAGACUGGAUAGAGGGGAAAGCAGACCAUCAGAAUAUAUUUGACACAAUAUCAUUCUAGGAUUCUAUGAAUUCAAAAUGGUGACAUCAAAGCGUAAUGCAUAGGAAAGGUGCAUGAAAGAUCUGCACGUUUCCACAAGCGCAGUAACAGCGCAAAGAGGCAAUCCAUUAAAUGUAAGCACAGUGGUGGCAUGACCUGUUUCAAAGCAAAUUCAUCCUCAUGGAGAUUGAAUUUCAUAUGCAGUGACUGAAUGUCCAAAACCAAAUGGCCUUAUUCAUGAGAACGACAUGUUUUAUACGAAAGAAAACAUUUUCAUCGGAUUUUUUUUUAAAGCUCUGUAAGGUGUGUACCCCUUUCUGUUUCCUUUGCGACUGGAUCUCAGCAAAAAUGUUGGGAGGGGGAAAACAAAACCAGUUUCUGGAAAUGGAUCCUCAGCGUGCAGGAGAAUUUUCUAGCAGCUUGCUGAGUAGUGACCUGGCUACCGUAUUGCAAAACACUCAAAGCGGACAAGAAAAGCAGUAUAAUGGAACAAGAACAUCAUCAGCAAUAAUGUAAUGAAUAAAUAACAGUUGGGAUUUAGGUGGAGCUGUGUGCAUCCUACAUUUGUGCUGUAAAGGUAAAGGGUAAAGGGACCCCUGACCAUUAGGUCCAGUCGUGACUGACUCUGGGGUUACGGCGUUCAUCUCGCUUUACUGGCCGAGGGAGCCGGCGUACAGCUUCCGGGUCAUGUGGCCAGCAUGACUAAGCCGCUUCUGGCGAACCAGAGCAGCACGCGGAAAUGCCAUUUACCUUCCCGCCAGAGCAGUAACUAUUUAUCUACUUGCACUUCGUGCUUUCGAACUGCUAGGUUGGCAGGAGCAGGGACCGAGCAACGGCAGCUCACCCCGUCGUGGGGAUUUGAACCGCCGACCUUCUGAUCGGCAAGCCCUAGGCUCUGUGGUUUAGACCACAGCGCCACCUGCAUCCCCAUUUGCACUGUACAUACUUGGAAUUUGGUAGUGGCUCAGCAUGGAGUCCCAUCAAAUGUCAGUCUGAUGCAAUCACAUGGGAGAACUAAAUUAGUACGUAUAUGGCUGGAACUGGAGCAGAGGACCCAAUUCCGAAGCACCCAGUGGCAUAUCUAGGCUCCCUUGUGCUCCUGGCAAGGAGUUGUAUUGGCGUCCCCUCCCUCAGUCCCUUGCGCCGUUGGAAAGACCAUGGACCAGAAACUCAACACGUUUGCUUUUCAUCACCUUUGGGGCAAUGGGGUCAAAAGACCUGGUCCAGCAACUAGAUUCUUCUGCCAAUGAUUCCUCCACCAAGGUGACCAGAGGAGCCUGCAGACCCAGAGCAGCAGAAGUGCAGCCUGGGGAGCACAUAGACAGAUGGGCAGGCUCCUAGCAACUCUGAGCCAGAGUGGAGAGGCGAGAUUUUUGCAUACACCCCAGGCCUGCAGCUUUGGUAGGGGCUAGCCUGGCUAACCCCUAGGUAUGCCCCGGAAGCAGCCACAGCAGAUUUGUAUGCACUUGGGCAAACAGCCUCCUUGGAUUUCACCUGUGAUCUGGAGUAACCUUAUCCUAUCACCACUUGGAUCGCUGAAAUUAGUGGGAACAAGGACAAGGCUUUCUCUGUGGUGGCCCCACAGCUCUGACAUUCUGACAUUCUUUGCCCAUGGUUCUGCAGGAAGCUGCCACACUUCAGUUCUUCCAGAAUGCCUUGAAAGCCUGUUGGUUUUAGAUGGUCUAUGCAUGAACAACGUUUUCUGACUGGGAUGUUAAUUUUUGCUUUUAACAGUUCGUACGUAAUUGUUUUUUAUUGCUGUUAGUGGACGGAUUGUGUUUUAGUGCUGAUUUAUUGUAGUGGUUUUAUUGUUGAUAUCCUGCCUUUACUGUGUAAGCUGGCUUGAAAGAGUUGCGCUCAGAAAGGUGGCCUAUAAUUAAUUAAUUAAUUAAAAAUAAAUAAGUUGAAAACGCUACUCUCUCAUUUUCUCCUUUCAUGGAGGAGGAGUGCAAGUACAUAAUAAAAUAAAAUGGUUAAACUGGUCUCUAGCUUCAUCUGGGUAGGAAAUGCUGAAUGAAACAAAUAUUCUGUUUUGUCCUAAGGGCAGAAUCUUUUCCAAGUGUUCCCUUGAAGGAAACAACAAAGAUGGCAACAUCCCUCUUCUUGGAAAGCGGAAUGGGCGCAUGGCGAGAACGAUUCUAUUUCUCAGUGGGAUAUGACAGGGCACUUGCCAUUUGCUUCUCGAAUAUAGACGCAAGCCUUUUUCAGUCCACACCAUCGUCCCAUGUGCUGAUGGCCCACCCAUUGAAUUCUGCCAUAAUUCACAUGCAAUCCAUAAAGACCAGCUGCCCAGACAUUUGACUUGGAAGCUGAAGUUUUGAAUGGCUUGUGUUAUGUGUGAGCAUGAGAACGAGAAAGCUUGCCAACAUUCUAUUCAGCCCUAGUCAUUUUCAUUCACGAGAGGUAAAGGCUGUGCCCGGGAGAUCCAGCUCUGGGUCAACCCAGGAGAGGUCCAGUGCAAAAGGCUAUGCAACUCUGCUAAUACCCUUAUGUAUUGUUUUGGACGGAAUGCGGAUGUCUUUUUUUCUUUUCUUUUUGUAUAAAAUAAGGAUGGGGGGGCCUGUGGCCCUACAACUCAAAUCAUCAUCGGCCAUUGGACAUGCUGGCUAGGGCUGAUGAAAGCUAGAGUCCAGUAACAUCUGAGAGGCCAUAAAUUCCUUGUCCCUGCUAUCAAGCUAGCAGUACUUGUUCAUUCCAGAGACAGUUUUCAGUAUGCUUCUGGAUUCCUUUAUACAGAAACAAGACAGUAUACUAAGGCUGCAAUCUCAUGCUUCCUUGGAAAUAAAUCCACUGGAAGUGUGUCUUACAUCCAAGUAAACCUGCUUAGGGCUCACAGUGCACAUGUACAAGGAAGGCAACAAGCUUUGCAGUUGAAGGUUGAUUAAAUGGUGAAUGCUUACAUUUUGCCUCGAAUGUAGCUCAUCUCUUACAGCCAUGUGAUCUAAUGCAAUAAUAACACUAUUUUCCUUCUGG
This is a non-coding RNA of Podarcis lilfordi (Lilford's wall lizard), 36706 nucleotides long. The record is from the annotation of a GenBank genome assembly. Lineage: Eukaryota; Metazoa; Chordata; Lepidosauria; Squamata; Lacertidae.